RNAcentral lists this long non-coding RNA (436 nucleotides) under Equus asinus (donkey). RNAcentral describes it as "lncRNA (ENSEASG00005028220.1)". Lineage: Eukaryota; Metazoa; Chordata; Mammalia; Perissodactyla; Equidae. The record is from RNAcentral.
CUCUGCCCACAGCACAUGACACCUUCCGGUUGGAGUUACCCACGAUAUAAUCCAGCCUGGUCAGAACUCCAAGGAAGUCUCCUGGAGUCUCCUACAGAUAGGGUAUCAACCUGGCUGCCCUCAGGCUAUGGGGCAAGAAGAUGGCUGUGGUUCGCAGGAUUUGGGUUCCUGUUGCUGAAAAUUCCUGAGCUUUUGCAGAGUUCCUCAGUGCAAACGAGGCUACUUCUUCCUUCUCCUCUGCCAGGUUAAAAUCCUGUCUCAGGCAUGCUCAAUCUGCAACUGAGGAGUCUUAAAUUGAAUCACGUUUUCCAGAGGCCAUCUCAUAUAAAGAUGCAGAGCAUCUUAACGCAAUAAAGGCCAAUGCUAUCUUUGGCUAUGGGACAGCCUGCAGCCCAGCCGCCAGGAACAGGAAAUCUUCUGUAGGGUUGAGAAGCCU